This 447-nucleotide ribosomal RNA is filed under the name uncultured bacterium. Its description in RNAcentral is "bacterial SSU rRNA". It matches the Rfam family "Bacterial small subunit ribosomal RNA", at positions 330 to 793 of the family's 1533-position model. The record is from RNAcentral.
GCCAGACUCCUACGGGAGGCAGCAGUGGGGAAUAUUGCACAAUGGGGGAAACCCUGAUGCAGCGACGCCGCGUGAGUGAAGAAGUAUUUCGGUAUGUAAAGCUCUAUCAGCAGGAACGAGACAAGACGGUACCUGACUAAGAAGCCCCGGCUAACUACGUGCCAGCAGCCGCGGUAAUACGUAGGGGGCAAGCGUUAUCCGGAAUCACUGGGUGUAAAGGGAGCGUAGACGGCUGAGCAAGCCUGAAGUGAAAGGCGGGGGCCCAACCCCCGGACUGCUUUGGGAACUGUACGGCUGGAGUGCAGGAGAGGUAAGUGGAAUUCCUAGUGUAGCGGUGAAAUGCGUAGAUAUUAGGAGGAACACCAGUGGCGAAGGCGGCUUACUGGACUGUAACUGACGUUGAGGCUCGAAAGCGUGGGGAGCAAACAGGAUUAGAUACCCCUGUAC